UGCAAAAACCAAAGAUUAAUAUGUAAAACCCCAACAGGGAAUAAAUCCGAUAACAUAAUCUAGAUUAACACACUAAUAAAGACCCCUACAAUGUCACAAAGCCGACGUUUCUCAAGCUUUUAUUGAACAAAUCGUGUGACAAAAAGAAAAGACUAGCACACUAUGACCGGUAAAAGACACUUCUAGUAAACCAUCUUGCAAAACCUCAUCAUCAAAACAGAAACCAAAAAGAGAGCGAGGGAACCGAAUAAUGUCCUAAUACUUGUAGUCCUUGACGUGAAGGCUCUCGGAAGCACCGUCGCCCAAGUUGGAACUACCGGCAUACUUUCCAAGGGUAGCCUCAGAGUUGGCCUUGCACCUUGUGAGAAGUGCAGCUUGGGCCUUCCCGAUAUUCUCCACCUUUCCUGACCAGGCCUUGAGGGUGCUCUGUUGGAGAGCACGUCCGAAGGAGAAGGAGAGGGUCCAGGGCUUCUUGGUUUGAAGUUUGUUCAUGGCGUUG
RNAcentral lists this unclassified non-coding RNA (499 nucleotides) under Hevea brasiliensis (rubber tree). Lineage: Eukaryota; Viridiplantae; Streptophyta; Magnoliopsida; Malpighiales; Euphorbiaceae. The record is from RNAcentral.